GACGAACGCUGGCGGCGUGCCUAAUACAUGCAAGUAGAACGCACAGUUUAUACCGUAGCUUGCUACACCAUAGACUGUGAGUUGCGAACGGGUGAGUUACGCGUAGGUAACCUGACUGGUAGCGGGGGAUAACUAUUGGAAACGAGAGCUAAUACCGCAUAAUAUUAAUUAUUGCAUGAUAAUUAAUUGAAAGGUGCAAUUGCACCCCUACCAGAUGGACCUGUGUUGUAUUAGCUAGUAGGUGAGGUAACGGCUCACCGAGGCGACGAUGCAUAGCCGACCUGAGAGGGGGAUCAGCCACACUGGGACUGGGACACGGCCAAGCACCCUGCGGCAGAGAGCCGUAGGGGAUCCUCAGGAAUGGACGCAAGGCUGAACGAGAGACGACGCGGGAGUCACUAAGGUUGUCGGGUCGGGAAGGUCUGUUGUACGUGAAGAACGGGAGGGAGAGUGGAAAGUUCACACUGUGACGGUACCUGAAGAAGAAGCGACGGCUAACUACGUG
RNAcentral lists this ribosomal RNA (505 nucleotides) under uncultured bacterium. Its description in RNAcentral is "partial 16S ribosomal RNA". It matches the Rfam family "Bacterial small subunit ribosomal RNA", at positions 28 to 507 of the family's 1533-position model. The record is from RNAcentral.